RNAcentral lists this transfer RNA (87 nucleotides) under Candidatus Rokuibacteriota bacterium. RNAcentral's name for it is "Candidatus Rokubacteria bacterium tRNA-Leu". It matches the Rfam family "tRNA". From Rfam's summary of the family: Transfer RNA (tRNA) molecules are approximately 80 nucleotides in length. Their secondary structure includes four short double-helical elements and three loops (D, anti-codon, and T loops). Further hydrogen bonds mediate the characteristic L-shaped molecular structure. tRNAs have two regions of fundamental functional importance: the anti-codon, which is responsible for specific mRNA codon recognition, and the 3' end, to which the tRNAs corresponding amino acid is attached (by aminoacyl-tRNA synthetases). tRNAs cope with the degeneracy of the genetic code in two manners: having more than one tRNA (with a specific anti-codon) for a particular amino acid; and 'wobble' base-pairing, i.e. permitting non-standard base-pairing at the 3rd anti-codon position. Lineage: Bacteria; Candidatus Rokuibacteriota. RNAcentral also lists the same sequence under 1 other name. The record is from RNAcentral.
GCCGGCGUGUCGAAACUGGCAAACGAGCCCGGCUCAAAACCGGGUGCCCGUAAGGGCUUGUGGGUUCGAGUCCCACCGCCGGCACCA